AGUCGACGGGGCUAGAGGAGCUUGCUCCUCGACGCCUAGUGGCGGACGGGUGAGUAACGCGUGAGUAACCUGCCUUUCAGAGGGGAAUAACGUUCUGAAAAGAACGCUAAUACCGCAUAACGUGCAGCUUUCGCAUGGAAGCAGUACCAAAGGAGCAAUCCGCUGAGAGAUGGACUCGCGUCCGAUUAGCUAGUUGGUGGGGUAAAGGCCUACCAAGGCGACGAUCGGUAGCCGGACUGAGAGGUUGAACGGCCACAUUGGGACUGAGACACGGCCCAGACUCCUACGGGAGGCAGCAGUGGGGGAUAUUGCACAAUGGGGGAAACCCUGAUGCAGCAACGCCGCGUGUGGGAAGAAGGUUUUCGGAUUGUAAACCACUGUUCUUGGUGAAGAUAAUGACGGUAACCAAGGAGAAAGCUCCGGCUAACUACGUGCCAGCAGCCGCGGUAAUACGUAGGGAGCAAGCGUUGUCCGGAUUUACUGGGUGUAAAGGGUGCGUAGGCGGUCUUGCAAGUCAGACGUGAAAACCACAGGCUCAACCUGUGGACUGCGUUUGAAACUGUGGGGCUUGAGUGAAGUAGAGGUAGGCGGAAUUCCCGGUGUAGCGGUGAAAUGCGUAGAGAUCGGGAGGAACACCAGUGGCGAAGGCGGCCUACUGGGCUUUAACUGACGCUGAGGCACGAAAGCAUGGGUAGCAAACAGGAUUAGAUACCCUGGUAGUCCAUGCCGUANACGAUGAUUACUAGGUGUGNGGGGUCUGACCCCCUCCGUGCCGGAGUUAACACAAUAAGUAAUCCACCUGGGGAGUACGGCCGCAAGGUUGAAACUCA
Molecule: ribosomal RNA, 830 nt
Filed under: uncultured bacterium
Lineage: Bacteria
Description: bacterial SSU rRNA
Rfam family: Bacterial small subunit ribosomal RNA
Source: RNAcentral